Molecule: long non-coding RNA, 596 nt
Organism: Neodiprion fabricii
Lineage: Eukaryota; Metazoa; Arthropoda; Insecta; Hymenoptera; Diprionidae
Exons: 3
Source: RefSeq, a predicted model, not a curated record
UCAACAUCCACGCUACACGAUUAUUCGAAUUAUUUUAAGGAAUUCAUUCUCACCGCCGCGCAUUCCUACUAUUCCGACAGCAUAACCGCGUUGAUAGGCAAAAAACGCAACAAGAUAUCAAUACACAUUAGCUCCUGCUAUAACGUUCGCUUCCGACCGCAUACAAAGAAUUCCUCUAGCAACGUUACGUCGAUAUGAUGCCCUAAUGAAUUAACUGUAGCAUUAUUCAAACUGGAUCAAAUUUCUACUAAAAAAAGGAAAAAGUGUUCAAUGUGCAUAUAUUUCUCUGUUGGUGCCAGAACCUUUUCAUUUAACGAUGACAAUCGAUUCAAAUGACCUUCAUCACACCACAUGAACGCGAAAUCAAAGCGAAAUCUGGAAUAUCGUUUCCUGCAGAGAAAGAUUGCACCUCUACGGUAUUGGACCUACAACUAUACACAAACCGCUGAAUCUACAUGAUACAACACUGUUCAGAUCCUGCUUGAAAUACGUGACACUUUAUUUCCCUAGUAUGUACGUUGUAAUCAUUACGUGAUGUUAAUUCAUAAUGUUGUAUCUCUGUGUGCAUUUCCGUUAUAUACUAUUUAACAACUUGU